GACUCUCGGCAACGGAUAUCUCGGCUCUCGCAUCGAUGAAGAACGUAGCGAAAUGCGAUACCUGGUGUGAAUUGCAGAAUCCCGCGAACCAUCGAGUCUUUGAACGCAAGUUGCGCCCGAAGCCUUCUGGCCGAGGGCACGCCUGCCUGGGCGUCACGCA
This 160-nucleotide ribosomal RNA is filed under the name Calophyllum inophyllum. RNAcentral describes it as "5.8S ribosomal RNA". It matches the Rfam family "5.8S ribosomal RNA". Rfam says of the family: 5.8S ribosomal RNA (5.8S rRNA) is a component of the large subunit of the eukaryotic ribosome. It is transcribed by RNA polymerase I as part of the 45S precursor that also contains 18S and 28S rRNA. Functionally, it is thought that 5.8S rRNA may be involved in ribosome translocation. The record is from RNAcentral. Lineage: Eukaryota; Viridiplantae; Streptophyta; Magnoliopsida; Malpighiales; Calophyllaceae. RNAcentral also lists the same sequence under 1 other name.